AUAAACUACACCUGGGGGUAUGUGAAAGCAUCUUCUUCAGUGUUGUAUAUUAACCACCUGUUUACUAUUACCAGUUGCUUCCGUGGAACUAGGGUGCUCUUUCUGUUCGCAGCUUGGAGUUACCUUCCACGGGUAUCUAAAUAAAUGUCAUUGCUGAAUUGUCUGAAAAAAUUUAAAAAGUUA
Molecule: unclassified non-coding RNA, 183 nt
Filed under: uncultured Ascobolus
Lineage: Eukaryota; Fungi; Ascomycota; Pezizomycetes; Pezizales; Ascobolaceae
Description: sequence contains ITS1
Source: RNAcentral